CUGACCCCAGUGUAGCAUCAAUGGCUUCACUUCUGUACUACCAAAUCCACCAGAGUUGGCGUUUAUACUAUGCUGUACAUCUGAACAUUAAGAAAAUGCCAACUAAAGAAAAUACAUUGUAAGAACUAAAGAAAUAAAUUUCUGUAAAAUAAAUGGUAGGAAUUUCGCUGUUAGCUCUAAAUCUAACGCAGGAACUUUAAAGAAAAUGAAAAAGAAAAACAUCACCUCUGUCUACGUUCACAAACCAGUCAUAUGGUUUUGGUUAUAUUGGAGCCAACAAGUAAAUAACAGUUCAAAAUAUCAGUAAUAGAAAAAGUUAGAUCAUAAAAGGGCGUGAUAGUCCAUCCAGCUACCUCAAAUAACAGAUAAUGAUUCUACUCGAGACAUAUACUAGGUCAACCAAAUGGUAUCUCUUCAGCUAUUGUGAAAAUGGUUAGCAAUCACCAGUCUUUGUGCUUGUUCCUCCUUACUCAUAUAAGGAUGGUCCCCCGGGAAUAUAAGAGCAACCACCCAAUGUAGGUCGGUACUGAUGAAUCUAAAAAGUUGAAGAGAGAAAAAGAAACUUAAAAGCAUACAGCAUCUUAUCAUAUCAUGUAUUUGUGUCAAAAAGUGGUCGGUGGUCGGUGGCUGGUGGACAAACUAAGUGUUAUUAUUAUGCUCAUCUAACCAUUGGAGAAAAAGGAUACAACCAACGACUUGAGGAUUUCCAUCUAAUAUGAUAACUUCUAAUGCUUCUGUUGUCUCCCCAAGAGCAAGGUUGGAAGUUCUUGGAGGGAAGGAUGCCUGGGGUCUAUUUGGAAACAACCUCUCUACCCAAGGAUAGGGUUAAGGUCUGCGUACAUACUACCCUCCCCAGACCCCACUAAGUGGGAUUAUACUGGGUUGUUGUUGUAAUGCUUCUGUUGUCAUUGCAACAGCUACUCCAGCUAAACCAUAUCCAGAUCAAAGUUCAAUGACUCUUUUCUGCCUUAAAAAGUCAAACAGAUGUGUAACUCAGAUCACUUUCAGGUGCAAGGAAAAUCAUUCUACUUGACAUAGAACACAUGAAACCUGAACAUGUCUGGAUGUGACAAACAGUAGUAAGAAAUGACUUCCUCAGAUGGCCAUUGACCUAUUCAAAAAGGAAGUCUCUAAAUUAGGACAGAUUAGCAGCACUACAACAACAGCAACUAUGUCUCAGUACUGCGCCAGUUGAGGUCGUCUACAUGAAUCCUCUCUAUCCAUUAGCAGUAAUCAAAGAAAAAAGUAGAUGGACCUUUUAGGUUGAUUGAAACUGAAUGCACAAUCUCCUGUACAAUUAGCAAAACAUACUUCAAUUUGAUAGUAAAGGUACUAGAGGAAGCCUGUCCAUUUAAAUAAGCAGUGAAGACAUUACACCCUAAAUUUUAGGCCCAAAAGCAGCUUAUAAGCAAGUAAAGGUACUAGAGGAAGCCUGUCCAUUCAAAUAAGUAGCGAACACAUUACAGCCUGAAUUUUAGGCCCAAAAGCAGCUUAUAAGCUCCACAGUUGAGCUUUUACCAACAUAUUUGUGCUGAAAUUUGAUAAGUAAAAGUGCAUUACACAUAUAAGAAACACUUUAAAACCAUUUUUCAUACAGUAAGUACUUUUUAUCCUCAAAUGCUUUGCAAAAUCGAAGUGGAGCCUUGACGUAACUGAUAAAGUUACUGCCAUGUGACCAGGAGGCCACAAGUUUGAGCUGUGGAAACAGCCUCUUGCAGAAAUGCAGGGUAAGGCCGUGUAGAAUAGACCUUUGUGGCCCGGCCCUUUCCCGGACCCCGCUCAUAGCGGGAGCUUAGUUG
RNAcentral lists this long non-coding RNA (1799 nucleotides) under Nicotiana benthamiana. RNAcentral describes it as "long non-coding RNA (NBEN_LNC039930)". The record is from RNAcentral. Lineage: Eukaryota; Viridiplantae; Streptophyta; Magnoliopsida; Solanales; Solanaceae.